GUACGCGCCCCUCCCGCUACUGCUCUUUUUUUCCCCAUUUAACUCCGCGGAACCCCCCUCGCCUCGAGAUUCGCGCGGCCGUGUCUGCCUCUGGGUCCGCGCUUCCGUUGUCUAGCGUCCUGAGCUAGAUCUCUCAGCUCGCUCUUCGCCGGCGCUUUGGGCUUAGAUCUGGCUGGGGCGAGUAAGUGGAGGCCGGCCGCGGAUUCGUGACGAGGGAGGGGAGCCAUGGAGCUGGGGGCGGCCGGGAUGCGGCGGUCGGCGUCGCACAACUCGCUGUCCGGGUCCGAUGACUUCGACCUCACACACCUGCUCAACAAGCCGCGGAUCAACGUCGAGCGCCAGCGCUCCUUCGAUGACCGUUCGCUCAGCGACGUCUCCUACUCCGGUGGCCACGCCAGAGGAGGCGGAGGCUUCGACGGCAUGUACUCCCCGGGCGGCGGUCUACGCUCUCUGGUCGGCACGCCGGCCUCCUCGGCGCUCCACUCUUUCGAGCCCCACCCCAUAGUGGGCGACGCCUGGGAGGCCCUCCGCCGCUCCCUCGUCUUUUUCCGCGGCCAGCCGCUUGGUACCAUCGCCGCUUUCGACCAUGCAUCCGAGGAAGUCCUAAACUAUGAUCAGGUGUUUGUGAGAGAUUUCGUGCCCAGCGCCAUGGCGUUUCUGAUGAAUGGCGAGCCGGAGAUUGUCAAGAACUUCCUGCUCAAGACCGUGUUGCUGCAGGGUUGGGAGAAGAAGGUUGAUCGGUUUAAGCUUGGCGAGGGGGCCAUGCCUGCAAGCUUUAAAGUGCUUCAUGACGAUAAGAAGGGUGUUGAUACCCUGCACGCGGAUUUUGGUGAGAGCGCAAUUGGGCGGGUUGCACCAGUGGAUUCGGGCUUCUGGUGGAUCAUACUAUUGCGGGCCUACACAAAGUCCACCGGGGAUUUGACUCUGGCAGAGAGGCCGGAAUGCCAGAAGGCGAUGAGGCUCAUUCUGAGCUUGUGCUUGUCUGAGGGAUUUGAUACCUUCCCGACAUUGUUAUGUGCUGAUGGUUGCUGCAUGAUAGAUCGUAGGAUGGGUGUGUAUGGCUACCCCAUUGAAAUUCAAUCCCUUUUCUUCAUGGCACUAAGGUGUGCUCUUCUAAUGCUUAAACAUGACGCUGAAGGGAAAGAUUUUGUGGAGCGGAUUGCAACUCGUCUUCAUGCUUUAAGUUAUCACAUGCGGAGUUAUUUUUGGCUAGAUUUCCAGCAGCUAAAUGAUAUUUAUCGUUACAAGACGGAAGAAUAUUCUCAUACAGCUGUCAACAAAUUUAAUGUUAUUCCAGAUUCUAUUCCGGACUGGCUAUUUGAUUUCAUGCCUUGCGAGGGUGGUUUUUUUGUUGGUAAUGUCAGUCCUGCAAGGAUGGACUUCCGUUGGUUUGCACUUGGAAACAUGAUUGCCAUAGUAUCAUCUCUUGCUACACCUGAGCAAUCCAUGGCCAUAAUGGAUCUCAUUGAGGAGCGCUGGGAAGAGUUAAUUGGUGAGAUGCCUCUGAAGAUAUGCUAUCCUGCUAUUGAGAACCAUGAAUGGCGUAUCGUGACGGGAUGUGAUCCAAAAAAUACGAGAUGGAGUUACCACAAUGGAGGAUCUUGGCCAGUACUUCUCUGGCUGCUCACAGCAGCAAGCAUCAAAACUGGACGGCCGCAAAUUGCAAGAAGAGCAAUUGACCUAGCUGAGAGGAGGCUGUUGAAGGAUGGCUGGCCUGAGUAUUACGAUGGUAAGCUUGGAAAAUAUGUUGGCAAGCAGGCAAGGAAAUUUCAGACUUGGUCCAUUGCCGGGUAUUUGGUCGCCAAGAUGCUGCUGGAGGAUCCUUCGCAUCUUGGUAUGAUAGCCUUGGAAGAGGACAAGGCAAUGAAGCCAGUUUUGAGAAGGUCCGCCUCAUGGACAAACUGAUAUAUCGACAAGAGCUUUAGGGGAGCAACGUCUGGAUUGAAAACACGAAUUAUUCGGGUAGCAUUUCUCUGCUCAUCCCUUGUUUUGACUUUCCCAACGGAAAGUUUUAUUUUCUUCUGGAUUCCUCGGCUGUACAAUAUCUCAGCUCAUUUAUUGAGUUGGAAAAGAAGCAAUUGUGGAAAUGAGUAUUCUCUUUUCUUUUCUUUUCAGUCCAUCGUUGUAAGAAGAUACUAUUGAUUCUUGCUUGGUCAUUCCGUAGUAACGGGAUCCUUGACUCAAAACUUUGUUGUUUGGGUUGAGUAUAUAGACGAGUCUGCUGAUCCAGCUUCCUAUGAUGAACAUAAGUUUUUAUCUAACGAAUAAAGAUUGCUCCAUUCUGCUAGUG
Molecule: ribosomal RNA, 2290 nt
Filed under: Triticum aestivum (bread wheat)
Lineage: Eukaryota; Viridiplantae; Streptophyta; Magnoliopsida; Poales; Poaceae
Description: partial small subunit ribosomal RNA
Source: RNAcentral